UGCCAUAAAACUGUAAAGAAGAAGAUUAUAUUUUGAUGUUUUUAGCAGGACAGCUAAAUAUUUGUUCUAAUUUGCAUCUCAGGUGUCAGGUAUUUAACUUAAGCAAUCUACACAAUAACUGAGGAGGACAUAGUGGAUUAGCAAGGUAGUUAGAUAUAACGCAAUAAUAGCCAACUUACUAAGUUAGUUAGUUACCAGUAUCUGUGAUAAGUUACCCUGUAUUAUACAUUUUAGAACGUUAGCUAGCCUGUAAUUUAGUGUGUUGGCAGACCAAGUUCUGAACAAGCAUGGCAUUAUCCAUCAACUAUUUAAAGGAGUGAAUCAGCAAAACAACUAAUAAAAUAUUAAAUACGGUAUUCAGGAUAACGUUACAAUUUCGGUAGUCUUCUAUCAAACCUUUUCCACUGCGCUCAACACCACGCACACGCAUGGAUAAUAAUUAUGUUGAGUCGGCUGGUCGAGCUGUGCUCGAAAUGAUGCAGCGUGAAUGGGCGCCUCUUUCUCAAGACGAACUGGAGCAACGAUUGGACCGAGCAGGGGAAGAAUUCUGGAAGCUGACCUCCUAGCAAAGGUUCAUGAUCAGUCUGGACCAAUCUACCUACAACUGUCUCAGCUGGUGGAAGAACCUCAACAGCAAAACCAAAUUUGGUCAACAACAGAACUUACACUUUCUCAUGUAGAAGAGGAGUCUGAAUCUCAACAGUUAACUGAUGCUGAGGAAAACGCUGCAGUUCAGUACAUUACAGAUCUCCUCCAGAAUUCAAACUCAAGAUACAAUCAGAGCUGUAUGGCAGGACUUGUCCUCUUAUCCCUGUCCCACACUGUUCUCCUGUCCCUCACUCUCCUCUCCAAGCACCUCAGCUAUCGCUCUGUGUCUACCAGUUUCCGCAUGGAAAAAGGAAACAUUCAUAGGAUCUUCUUUUCCUUUUGUGAGCGUGAACACACUUGAGGACCAACCAAUUAGGUGGCCGACUGGUAUGUAGACUGCUGUUCAAUGUGGAUGUUAUACAAAGUGUUAUACAAACUUUCAGCAGGGACCCCAUUUUAUCCGCCAGUAUUUCUGGGGACCCCAUUUUCCCCCCAAUAAUUUCUUGCCGCCCAAAUCAGAUGACACAACCUUAAAAUCAGUCAAUUUAGAUUUUUACAUCAACAAAUAACCUUCAAUUAAUUGCAUUAAUUUCAAAAUGAAAAGGCAUCAAUACAUUUACUCAAGAAACAUUUUCCAAUUAUCUUUCUCAAAAACGUUUGUAUAUUGUCCCAUACAAUUUUUUGGGGGGGCGACCUCACUCUAGCCCUCCCCCCCUGACUUAGAAUAUCACUGAAUUACGAUAUCCUGACACACUAUUUACUCCAUCACCCGUGUUGGUUUCUGGUCCUUCUCUCCUCCUCCAGGCAUUGAGGCUGUUGAACAGCCUGAAAGCCAGAUUUGAAAGGCUCAGGUAUUUGGACAUGGGGAACUAUGAAAGAGCCAAAGCAGUUGUCCUUACUGCUUGCAUACUCCACAAUGUAUUUCUGGACAUGGGGGAAGUGGUCAACGGACAGGUUGAGAGGGAGGCAGGGACACAGGAGGGAGAGGGGGAGUGUGAUGAGGAGGGUGUGAGGAGAAGGGAAGCCAUCGCAGAUUUGCUGUACAAAGAGUUGGAUUCUGGAAGUACAUAAAGUGAUUUAUAAUUUUGUGUUUGUAUUGAGAUAAACAGCAUUUAUAUUGUAUAUUUUAUUAAAAGGAAGAGUAUCACACAAA
Molecule: long non-coding RNA, 1741 nt
Organism: Salmo salar (Atlantic salmon)
Lineage: Eukaryota; Metazoa; Chordata; Actinopteri; Salmoniformes; Salmonidae
Source: RefSeq, a predicted model, not a curated record